This 343-nucleotide ribosomal RNA is filed under the name Campylobacter jejuni. Its description in RNAcentral is "partial 23S ribosomal RNA". It matches the Rfam family "Bacterial large subunit ribosomal RNA", at positions 1 to 365 of the family's 2925-position model. Lineage: Bacteria; Pseudomonadati; Campylobacterota; Epsilonproteobacteria; Campylobacterales; Campylobacteraceae. The record is from RNAcentral.
AGGUAAGCUACUAAGAGCGAAUGGUGGAUGCCUUGACUGGUAAAGGCGAUGAAGGACGUACUAGACUGCGAUAAGCUACGGGGAGCUGUCAAGAAGCUUUGAUCCGUAGAUUUCCGAAUGGGGCAACCCAAUGUAUAGAGAUAUACAUUACCUAUAUAGGAGCGAACGAGGGGAAUUGAAACAUCUUAGUACCCUCAGGAAAAGAAAUCAAUAGAGAUUGCGUCAGUAGCGGCGAGCGAAAGCGCAAGAGGGCAAACCCAGUGCUUGCACUGGGGGUUGUAGGACUGCAAUAUGCAAGAGGUAAGUUUAGCAGAACAUUCUGGAAAGUAUAACCAUAGAGGGU